UACGGAGGGUGCAAGCGUUGCUCGGAAUUAUUGGGCGUAAAGAGCUCGUAGGCGGUGUGUCACGUCGGCCGUGAAAACCUGGGGCUCAACUCCGGGCCUGCAGCCGAUACGGGCUGACUAGAAUUCGGUAGGGGAGACUGGAAUUCCUGGUGUAGCGGUGAAAUGCGCAGAUAUCAGGAGGAACACCGGUGGCGAAGGCGGGUCUCUGGGCCGAUAUUGACGCUGAGGAGCGAAAGCGUGGGGAGCAAACAGG
RNAcentral lists this ribosomal RNA (253 nucleotides) under uncultured bacterium. Its description in RNAcentral is "partial 16S ribosomal RNA". It matches the Rfam family "Bacterial small subunit ribosomal RNA", at positions 524 to 776 of the family's 1533-position model. The record is from RNAcentral.